GGCGGCGUGGAUAAGACAUGCAAGUCGAACGGGAUUUUACUUGUAGCAAUACGAGUAAAGUUCAGUGGCGCAAGGGUGCGUAACACGUGGGCAAUCUGCCUGGGGGCGCGGGAUAGCUCGGCGAAAGCCGAAUUAAUACCGCAUGUGGCUAUCGAGGGAUUCCUCGAGACGCUAAAGACGGCGCAAGCUGUCACUCCCGGAUGAGCCCGCGGCCUAUCAGCUAGUUGGUGAGGUAACGGCUCACCAAGGCUAUGACGGGUAGCUGGUCUGAGAGGACGACCAGCCACACUGGAACUGAGACACGGUCCAGACACCUACGGGUGGCAGCAGUCGAGAAUUUUUCUCAAUGGGGGAAACCCUGAAGGAGCGACGCCGCGUGGAGGAUGAAGGUUUUCGGAUUGUAAACUCCUGUCAUUUGGGAACAAAAUUUCCGCUUAACUGGCGGGGACUUGAUAGUACCAGAAGAGGAAGAGACGGCUAACUCUGUGCCAGCAGCCGCGGUAAUACAGAGGUCUCAACCGUUGUUCGGAUUCAUUGGGCGUAAAGGGUGCGUAGGCGGUCGCGCAAGUCGGAUGUGAAAUCUUAGGGCUCAACCCUGAAACUGCAUUCGAUACUGCGUGGCUAGAGUACUGGAGAGGAGACUGGAAUUUACGGUGUAGCAGUGAA
Molecule: ribosomal RNA, 666 nt
Filed under: uncultured soil bacterium
Lineage: Bacteria
Description: bacterial SSU rRNA
Rfam family: Bacterial small subunit ribosomal RNA
Source: RNAcentral